Molecule: non-coding RNA, 282 nt
Organism: Vicia faba (fava bean)
Lineage: Eukaryota; Viridiplantae; Streptophyta; Magnoliopsida; Fabales; Fabaceae
Source: the annotation of a GenBank genome assembly
AUGGAUAGGACAGUAGACAGAAAAGGGAGUAAAAACAAAAUUACAGUAGAGAUACCAAGCUUCCUUUUCGGUUGCGGUAGAAAAGAGUCCUCACGGUUCUUGAUCUGUUUCCGCUUCACUCCGCAACAACAACCACUCAACCAUCGACUUCCUUCUGCGCCGCACGAAACCACCAGUGUCGCUUUCGCCGUUCAACCAACAUCCACCGCGAGCCUCUUCGAUCUUCAGCCACAUGAGCUUCUUCUUUCUCUUUUAAUUCUUUCAUCUCAUGUUCAUGGAUAA